UACGGGGGGGGCAAGCGUUGUUCGGAAUUACUGGGCGUAAAGGGCUCGUAGGUGGCCAACUAAGUCAGACGUGAAAUCCCUCAGCUUAACUGGGGAACUGCGUCUGAUACUGGAUGGCUUGAGUUUGGGAGAGGGAUGCGGAAUUCCAGGUGUAGCGGUGAAAUGCGUAGAUAUCUGGAGGAACACCGGUGGCGAAGGCGGCGUCCUGGACCAACACUGACACUGAUGAGCGAAAGCCAGGGGAGCAAACGGG
RNAcentral lists this ribosomal RNA (253 nucleotides) under uncultured bacterium. RNAcentral describes it as "partial 16S ribosomal RNA". It matches the Rfam family "Bacterial small subunit ribosomal RNA", at positions 524 to 776 of the family's 1533-position model. The record is from RNAcentral.